GUGGGGGAUAUUGCACAAUGGGGGAAACCCUGAUGCAGCAACGCCGCGUGAAGGAAGAAGGUCUUCGGAUUGUAAACUUUUGUCCUUGGUGAAGAUAAUGACGGUAGCCAAGGAGGAAGCUCCGGCUAACUACGUGCCAGCAGCCGCGGUAAUACGUAGGGAGCGAGCGUUGUCCGGAUUUACUGGGUGUAAAGGGUGCGUAGGCGGAAGAGCAAGUCAGUAGUGAAAUCCAUGGGCUUAACCCGUGAACUGCUAUUGAAACUGUUCUUCUUGAGUGAAGUAGAGGUAGGCGGAAUUCCCGGUGUAGCGGUGAAAUGCGUAGAGAUCGGGAGGAACACCAGUGGCGAAGGCGGCCUACUGGGCUUUAACUGACGCUGAGGCACGAAAGCAUGGGUAGCAAACAGGAUUAGAAACCCUAGUAGUCC
RNAcentral lists this ribosomal RNA (425 nucleotides) under uncultured bacterium. Its description in RNAcentral is "bacterial SSU rRNA". It matches the Rfam family "Bacterial small subunit ribosomal RNA", at positions 354 to 796 of the family's 1533-position model. The record is from RNAcentral.